UGCGCAGGCGGUUAUAUAAGUCAGAUGUGAAAUCCCCGGGCUCAACCUGGGAACUGCAUUUGAGACUGUAUGGCUAGAGUGUGUCAGAGGGGGGGUAGAAUUCCACGUGUAGCAGUGAAAUGCGUAGAUAUGUGGAGGAAUACCGAUGGCGAAGGCAGCCCCCUGGGAUAACACUGACGCUCAUGCACGAAAGCGUGGGGAGCAAACAGGAUUAGAUACCCUGGUAGUCCACGCCCUAAACGAUGUCUACUAGUUGUCGGGACUUAAUUGUCUUGGUAACGCAGCUAACGCGUGAAGUAGACCGCCUGGGGAGUACGGUCGCAAGAUUAAA
RNAcentral lists this ribosomal RNA (331 nucleotides) under uncultured bacterium. RNAcentral's name for it is "bacterial SSU rRNA". It matches the Rfam family "Bacterial small subunit ribosomal RNA", at positions 568 to 898 of the family's 1533-position model. The record is from RNAcentral.